Molecule: microRNA, 21 nt
Filed under: Bos taurus (domestic cattle)
Lineage: Eukaryota; Metazoa; Chordata; Mammalia; Artiodactyla; Bovidae
Description: bta-miR-12045
Source: miRBase by way of RNAcentral
ACCCGGGAAGUCCCUGACACU